Molecule: transfer RNA, 71 nt
Filed under: Toxocara canis (dog roundworm)
Lineage: Eukaryota; Metazoa; Nematoda; Chromadorea; Rhabditida; Toxocaridae
Rfam family: tRNA
About the family: Transfer RNA (tRNA) molecules are approximately 80 nucleotides in length. Their secondary structure includes four short double-helical elements and three loops (D, anti-codon, and T loops). Further hydrogen bonds mediate the characteristic L-shaped molecular structure. tRNAs have two regions of fundamental functional importance: the anti-codon, which is responsible for specific mRNA codon recognition, and the 3' end, to which the tRNAs corresponding amino acid is attached (by aminoacyl-tRNA synthetases). tRNAs cope with the degeneracy of the genetic code in two manners: having more than one tRNA (with a specific anti-codon) for a particular amino acid; and 'wobble' base-pairing, i.e. permitting non-standard base-pairing at the 3rd anti-codon position.
Source: Rfam by way of RNAcentral
GGGGCAGUAGCUCAGUGGUAGAGCUCCCGCUUCGCAUGCGGGGAGACCUGGCUCGAUUCCCGGCUGCUUAC